This is a non-coding RNA of Styela clava, 64 nucleotides long. The record is from the annotation of a RefSeq genome assembly. Lineage: Eukaryota; Metazoa; Chordata; Ascidiacea; Stolidobranchia; Styelidae.
GAUGCUGUAGGUUAAUAAAAACCAUUGAAUUUAUUUUUCAAAAAUGAUAUUGUAUUCCGUAUCU